This 501-nucleotide ribosomal RNA is filed under the name uncultured bacterium. RNAcentral describes it as "partial 16S ribosomal RNA". It matches the Rfam family "Bacterial small subunit ribosomal RNA", at positions 30 to 526 of the family's 1533-position model. The record is from RNAcentral.
AUUGAACGCUGGCGGCAGGCUUAACACAUGCAAGUCGAGCGGAGAUGAGGUGCUUGCACCUUAUCUUAGCGGCGGACGGGUGAGUAAUGCUUAGGAAUCUGCCUAUUAGUGGGGGACAACAUUCCGAAAGGAAUGCUAAUACCGCAUACGUCCUACGGGAGAAAGCAGGGGAUCUUCGGACCUUGCGCUAAUAGAUGAGCCUAAGUCGGAUUAGCUAGUUGGUGGGGUAAAGGCCUACCAAGGCGACGAUCUGUAGCGGGUCUGAGAGGAUGAUCCGCCACACUGGGACUGAGACACGGCCCAGACUCCUACGGGAGGCAGCAGUGGGGAAUAUUGGACAAUGGGGGAAACCCUGAUCCAGCCAUGCCGCGUGUGUGAAGAAGGCCUUAUGGUUGUAAAGCACUUUAAGCGAGGAGGAGGCUACUGAGACUAAUACUCUUGGAUAGUGGACGUUACUCGCAGAAUAAGCACCGGCUAACUCUGUGCCAGCCGCCGUAACAC